RNAcentral lists this ribosomal RNA (494 nucleotides) under uncultured bacterium. RNAcentral's name for it is "partial 16S ribosomal RNA". It matches the Rfam family "Bacterial small subunit ribosomal RNA", at positions 28 to 507 of the family's 1533-position model. The record is from RNAcentral.
GACGAACGCUGGCGGCGUGCUUAACACAUGCAAGUCGAACGGAAAGGCCUGCUUUCCCUUGUGGAUUGCGGGUACUCGAGUGGCGAACGGGUGAGUAACACGUGAGUGAUCUGCCCCCAACUUGGGUAUAAGCCUGGGAAACUGGGUCUAAUUCCCGAUAGGACUGCAGGGUGGUGCCUGUGGUGGAAAACGAUUUUCUAGUGGUUGGGGAUGAGCUCGCGGCCUAUCAGCUUGUUGGUGGGGUAAUGGCCUACCAAGGCGGCGACGGGUAGCCGGCCUGAGAGGGGGGACGGCCACAGUGGGACUGAGAGACGGCCCAGACUCCUACGGGAGGCAGCAGUGGGGAAGAUUGCACAACGGGCGGAAGCCUGAUGCAGCGACGCCGCGUGGGGGAUGACGGCCUUCGGGUGGUAAACUCCUUUCGACCGCGAGGAAGCCACCUGGUUGGAAGGGUGGUGACGGUAGUGGUAGAAGAAGCACCGGCUAACUACGUG